GCAGCGGGCGGCAGCGCUAGGCCUGGCGCGGUAGGGAGGCCCGGCGAUGCAGAGCAAGAAGUAUAAUGCGCGGUUCCUGCCAGGGCGGAUCAAGAUGAUCCUCCAGACGGACGAGGAGAUUGGGAAGGUGGUGGCAGCUGUGCCUGUCAUCAUCUCCCGGGCGCUCCAGCUCUUUCUGGAGUCGCUGUUGAAGAAGGCCUGCCAGGUGACCCAGUCCCGAAACGCCAAGACCAUGACCACAUCCCACCUGAAGCAGCAGUGCAUUGACCUGGAGCAGCAGUUUGACUUCCUGAAGGACCUGGUGGCAUCUGUGCCUGACAUGCAGGGUGAUGGAGAAGACAGCCACAUGAACGGGGUCAAGGGUGCCUGCACAUGGACUGUACUUUCCCGAAAGGGUCGGAAGCCAGGAAGCAGCAGCCGGAAGAAUGGUGGGAUGGGAAGCAAAAGCAAGGACAAAAACUGUUGGGGACAGACUCAGAGCAGGAGGAUGAGUCUGAGGACACAGAUACUGACGGGGAAGAGGAAACACCGCAGCUGCCACCCAGGUCAGCCACCCCCCUGGCCACUUUCAGAGCCCCCUGACACCCUUCCUGCCCUUCGCCUCUAGUCUGCCUUUGCCUCCAGGGCCCCCUGGCCCCUCAGCACCCGACGGAGGGGAUGAAGAAGAUUAUGACUCCUAGCACCCUCUGCCCCCCAGGACAUACCCUCUUUUAGUUGGUUUCAGUUGCUCUGGGGGGAGGAGAGAAGAUAGAACAGUUCUUAAAUUUAUUAAAAAUAAACAAUAAAAGGGAA
Molecule: RNA transcript, 792 nt
Organism: Carlito syrichta (Philippine tarsier)
Lineage: Eukaryota; Metazoa; Chordata; Mammalia; Primates; Tarsiidae
Gene name: dr1-associated corepressor pseudogene
Exons: 1
Source: RefSeq, a predicted model, not a curated record